UUCCUUUAAUCACUCAUCCUGGUUUCCUCAGGUCCACUGUUCAUGUUUAGAGAUUCUGGAAGGGUCACCUGCCCAGAAAAUUCAUGGUACCUGCCCAUUUCCUGAAUGGGAAACUGUUGACUUUCAUCUCCUCACUAGCACAGACAAGCAUAUUGAAAUUGUGUAGAAGAAUCCUGAGGGCAAAAAGAAAGAAGAUAAUCUGGUGGCAGAAUGAAGAGAUUACAUAACCUGGUGAGAAGUAUAAGUAAACAAGAGAAGCACUUUGUGUCAUUUUAUGUUGCUGUGCCCAGUGAAAUGAAUGGAAUUCUCCCCUCCAGUGGACUCUGAGAUUAUAAAUCAUUUGAGUAAUCUGCUAAUAAAUAUGGAAUGUUAAUUUUCUUUCUUUUUUAA
This 390-nucleotide long non-coding RNA is filed under the name Cyanistes caeruleus (blue tit). RNAcentral describes it as "lncRNA (ENSCCEG00000014873.1)". Lineage: Eukaryota; Metazoa; Chordata; Aves; Passeriformes; Paridae. The record is from RNAcentral.